This 534-nucleotide ribosomal RNA is filed under the name Soesilarishius cf. amrishi JXZ-2013. Its description in RNAcentral is "partial 16S ribosomal RNA". The stretch from base 142 to 438 matches the Rfam family "Bacterial large subunit ribosomal RNA", at positions 2074 to 2646 of the family's 2925-position model. The record is from RNAcentral. Lineage: Eukaryota; Metazoa; Arthropoda; Arachnida; Araneae; Salticidae.
UAAAUAGCCGCAAUUAGUGCUAAGGUAGCAUAAUCACUUGGCCUUUUAAAUAAAGACUAGAACAAACGAUUUAACAUUUAAAUUAAUUUAUUUUUAAUUAAAAUCAAAAUUCUUUAAGAUGUAAAAAAACAUCUAUUUCAAAGAAAGACGACAAGACCCUAUUGAACUUAACUUAAGUUAAACUGGGGAAGUAAAUUAAUUAUUAUUUUAAUUAAAAUUACAAAUCAAACAUCUUUUAUAAUCAAAUAAUCAAGUUACCAUAGGGAUAACAGCAUAAUUAAAUUUUAAAGUCCUCAUUUAAAAAAUAGUUUAUGACCUCGAUGUUGAAUUAAUAUUCUUAAUUAAAGCAAAUUUUAAUAUAAGAAAGUCUGUUCGACUUUCAAAAAAUUACAUGAUUUGAGUUCAGACCGGUGUAAGCCAGGUCGGUUUCUAUCUUCUUUAUCUUUUUAUGUAGUACGAAAGGACCUAUAAAUAAAAUUAUAUUUUCUUAAUUGGCAGAUCAAUGCAUUAGAAUUAGAAUCUAAUUAUAAUAUA